RNAcentral lists this ribosomal RNA (301 nucleotides) under uncultured bacterium. RNAcentral describes it as "partial 16S ribosomal RNA". It matches the Rfam family "Bacterial small subunit ribosomal RNA", at positions 509 to 809 of the family's 1533-position model. The record is from RNAcentral.
CAGCCGCCGCGGGAAUACGGAGGGGGCUAGCGUUGUUCGGAAUUACUGGGCGUAAAGCGCACGUAGGCGGCUUGGUAAGUUAGAGGUGAAAGCCUGGAGCUCAACUCCAGAAUUGCCUUUAAGACUGCCGAGCUAGCAGGUGAGAGAGGUAAGUGGAAUUCCGAGUGUAGAGGUGAAAUUCGUAGAUAUUCGGAAGAACACCAGUGGCGAAGGCGGCUUACUGGCUCAUACUGGACGCUGAGGUGCGAAAGCGUGGGGAGCAAACAGGAUUAGAUACCCCUGUAGUCCUUGUCUCUUAUAA